UGGCGGACGGGUGAGUAAUGCCUGGGAAAUUGCCCUGAUGUGGGGGAUAACCAUUGGAAACGAUGGCUAAUACCGCAUGAUAGCUUCGGCUCAAAGAGGGGGACCUUCGGGCCUCUCGCGUCAGGAUAUGCCCAGGUGGGAUUAGCUAGUUGGUGAGGUAAGGGCUCACCAAGGCGACGAUCCCUAGCUGGUCUGAGAGGAUGAUCAGCCACACUGGAACUGAGACACGGUCCAGACUCCUACGGGAGGCAGCAGUGGGGAAUAUUGCACAAUGGGCGCAAGCCUGAUGCAGCCAUGCCGCGUGUGUGAAGAAGGCCUUCGGGUUGUAAAGCACUUUCAGUCGUGAGGAAGGUUUAUGCGUUAAUAGCGUAUAGAUUUGACGUUAGCGACAGAAGAAGCACCGGCUAACUCCGUGCCAGCAGCCGCGGUAAU
Molecule: ribosomal RNA, 432 nt
Filed under: uncultured bacterium
Lineage: Bacteria
Description: bacterial SSU rRNA
Rfam family: Bacterial small subunit ribosomal RNA
Source: RNAcentral